Schizosaccharomyces pombe (fission yeast) is the source of this 341-nucleotide non-coding RNA. The record is from the annotation of a GenBank genome assembly. Lineage: Eukaryota; Fungi; Ascomycota; Schizosaccharomycetes; Schizosaccharomycetales; Schizosaccharomycetaceae.
AGGCAUGUUAUCGUUGGUAAAAAAUUUGGACAAUGUGGGCCAUAGUUGCCAAGGAGAAUUACUAACAAAGUGUACAGUAGCGUUGAGAUUUGUCAUAACACGAAACCAGUCGGAAACGCCCUCGAUAGUCUGUGUAUUUAAAGGAGCUAAAAGGGUGGUCUCUCCUACUUUCCUAGGCCCUUCAAUAACUCUUGUAUUUUUCACAGUGUCAUCAAUGUCUGAAAUAAUGGAAAUACCGUUUCGAUCUAACACGGGUACUUCGCUCAUAUAAGCUUUGAUCACUUUAUCCUCCGAGGUAGAUUGUAGAAGAACAGCUUCCACAGAAAACUUGUUAUUUUUAG